RNAcentral lists this small RNA (416 nucleotides) under Nocardioides sp. Root614. RNAcentral describes it as "cspA thermoregulator". It matches the Rfam family "cspA thermoregulator". The record is from Rfam by way of RNAcentral. Lineage: Bacteria; Bacillati; Actinomycetota; Actinomycetes; Propionibacteriales; Nocardioidaceae.
UACCGCCGUUCGGGACGACGGUUUUCGGCGGCUGCGUACGGCGGACGGAAGAUCCUGUCACGUUUUGGUGCAUGCCGAUCCUUGCGCUUUGCCACCUCUGCACUACGGUUCGGUGUAAGGAGCGUUCUAGUCUGGAUGUUCCUGCUUUACACAACAAGGAGAAACAUCAUGGCUCAGGGAACCGUCAAGUGGUUCAACAGCGAGAAGGGCUUCGGCUUCAUCGCCCCGGCCGACGGCAGCCCGGACGUCUUCGUCCACUUCUCGGCUAUCCAGGGUGACGGCUACAAGUCGCUCGAGGAGAACCAGCAGGUCGAGUUCGACGCUGCGCAGGGCCCGAAGGGUCCGCAGGCGGAGAACGUUCGCCCCGUCUGACUUUCAGAUAGCGAAACCCCGGUGCUUCGGCACCGGGGUUUCGU